GGGGAUCGCAAUCGCAAUAGGGAUGGCAACGGAGUUAGAGAUGACCAAUGAUAAUGACAAUGACCAUGACUAUUAGCGAUGCUGUUUAGAUUGCCAACUCUUCAAAGAAAAGCUAGUUCUCAAUCUGGGCUUUUCUGUCUUACAGAUGCUAACUUUGCAAGAUUUAGAACUGAUCGGUGUUCCACAUCUAGUUUCUGAACUUUCUAUGGUGAUCAUCUUAUAUCAUGGAAAAGCAAGAAACAAGUGAUUGUUUCUAGAUCUUCUGCAGAGGCUGAGUAUUGGACUAUGACACAAGGUAUCCCAGGACUUCAUUCUUUCUCCUCAAGUGAUGCCACUGUGAGAUCUCACUAGCAGCAACAUGUGUUCGAGCUGAAUCAUGGCUUGUGCAGGCAUGAACGACUUUGCAUAGGAGUCAUGACUUGUGACAUGAGCCAUGAGUGUUCUAUUGUAGAAUUAUAUCUACAAAAAGGGCCACGAGUGUUCUUUGCUGUCCCAGUUGGAUCAUCUUUUGUUGUUUCUAAAUAGGGGUGAUAAACGGGUUUUGUCCAUUCAUUCUUUUGAGGACUUGACAUAUAAAUCCUUGUUUGACAAAAUCAUUGACAAUCCGAGAGUGCCUUUCUUCACCUUUUACAAAAACAUUUGGAAACCUUUUUGUACUGCCUAAGGUGAAAUUUUUAUGUGGUUGUUGGCUCGUGGAGGCCUUUUGAUCAAUGACACCUUGCAAAAGAGGCCUAAUUGCUAUCUUUCUCCUCAAUGAUGUGUCAUGUAUAAGAAAGAUGAGGAGUUUUUGAAUCAUCUAUUCUUACAUUGCCUUGUGGUGUUGAACUUGUGCCAUGACUUUUUCGUUUGGUGGAGCUGUCAUGGGUGGCUCCAAGGGCAAGUAUUCAUGUUCUUUUAAUUGACUUUCAGAGAUUUGGGGGUAGGAGGAGAGCAAAAGCAUUGUGGCUUGGUGUGGUUGGUGCAAUAAUUUGUGUUAUUUGGAUGGAAAGGACGCAAGGAUUUUUGAAGAUAGAUUUGGGAGCGUGGAUUCAAUGUGGGAUAGAGUUCAUACCUUGGCAUCCUUUUGGGCCUUAGUGUCCCCUUCUUUUGGAGGGGUCCUGCUCUUUUUGAUUUCCAAAGAUUGGAAUGUUGUUUGCAAAU
This is a non-coding RNA of Camellia sinensis, 1140 nucleotides long. The record is from RefSeq and is a predicted model, not a curated record. Lineage: Eukaryota; Viridiplantae; Streptophyta; Magnoliopsida; Ericales; Theaceae.